AUUGAACGCUGGCGGCAUGCCUAACACAUGCAAGUCGAACGGCAGCACGGCAGUAGCAAUACUGUGGGUGGCGAGUGGCGGACGGGUGAGGAAUACGUCGGAAUCUGCCCAGUCGUGGGGGAUAACUAGCCGAAAGGUUAGCUAAUACCGCAUACGACCGAGAGGUGAAAGCGGGGGACCGCAAGGCCUCGCGCGAUUGGAUGAGCCGACGUCGGAUUAGCUAGUUGGUGGGGUAAAGGCCCACCAAGGCGACGAUCCGUAGCUGGUCUGAGAGGAUGAUCAGCCACACUGGAACUGAGACACGGUCCAGACUCCUACGGGAGGCAGCAGUGGGGAAUAUUGGACAAUGGGCGCAAGCCUGAUCCAGCAAUGCCGCGUGUGUGAAGAAGGCCUCGGUUGUAAGCACUUUAUCUAGACGAAAGACGUAGG
This 429-nucleotide ribosomal RNA is filed under the name uncultured bacterium. Its description in RNAcentral is "bacterial SSU rRNA". It matches the Rfam family "Bacterial small subunit ribosomal RNA", at positions 29 to 458 of the family's 1533-position model. The record is from RNAcentral.